GACGAACGCUGGCGGCGUGCUUAACACAUGCAAGUCGAACGGAAAGGCCCUGCUUUUGUGGGGUGCUCGAGUGGCGAACGGGUGAGUAACACGUGAGUAACCUGCCCUUGACUUUGGGAUAACUUCAGGAAACUGGGGCUAAUACCGGAUAGGAGCUCCUGCUGCAUGGUGGGGGUUGGAAAGUUUCGGCGGUUGGGGAUGGACUCGCGGCUUAUCAGCUUGUUGGUGGGGUAGUGGCUUACCCAGGCUUUGACGGGUAGCCGGCCUGAGAGGGUGACCGGCCACAGUGGGACUGAGAUACGGCCCAGACUCCUACGGGAGGCAGCAGUGGGGAAUAUUGCACAAUGGGCGGAAGCCUGAUGCAGCAACGCCGCGUGCGGGAUGACGGCCUUCGGGUUGUAAACCGCUUUCGCCUGUGACGAAGCGUGAGUGACGGUAAUGGGUAAAGAAGCACCGGCUAACUACGUG
RNAcentral lists this ribosomal RNA (468 nucleotides) under uncultured bacterium. RNAcentral describes it as "partial 16S ribosomal RNA". It matches the Rfam family "Bacterial small subunit ribosomal RNA", at positions 28 to 507 of the family's 1533-position model. The record is from RNAcentral.